RNAcentral lists this ribosomal RNA (465 nucleotides) under Vreelandella stevensii. Its description in RNAcentral is "partial 16S ribosomal RNA". It matches the Rfam family "Bacterial small subunit ribosomal RNA", at positions 338 to 795 of the family's 1533-position model. Lineage: Bacteria; Pseudomonadati; Pseudomonadota; Gammaproteobacteria; Oceanospirillales; Halomonadaceae. The record is from RNAcentral.
CCUACGGGUGGCUGCAGUGGGGAAUAUUGGACAAUGGGCGAAAGCCUGAUCCAGCCAUGCCGCGUGUGUGAAGAAGGCCUUCGGGUUGUAAAGCACUUUCAGUGGGGAAGAAAGCCUUGGGGCUAAUACCCUCGAGGAAGGACAUCACCCACAGAAGAAGCACCGGCUAACUCCGUGCCAGCAGCCGCGGUACUACGGAGGGUGCGAGCGUUAAUCGGAAUUACUGGGCGUAAAGCGCGCGUAGGCGGUCUGAUAAGCCGGUUGUGAAAGCCCCGGGCUCAACCUGGGAACGGCAUCCGGAACUGUCAGGCUAGAGUGCAGGAGAGGAAGGUAGAAUUCCCGGUGUAGCGGUGAAAUGCGUAGAGAUCGGGAGGAAUACCAGUGGCGAAGGCGGCCUUCUGGACUGACACUGACGCUGAGGUGCGAGAGCGUGGGUAGCAAACAGGAUUAGAUACCCUUGUAGUC